UUGUGAUCAUCUGUGGAUGCUGUUGUGGCGGUGGCAAUUGGCAGUGGAGGUGUUAGAAUUUGGGAGUUUUGCAUUCCGUAUGCAGGAAUCUUGAUGCAGUGGAGGUGUUAGAAUUUGGGAGUUUUGCAUUCCGUAUGCAGGAAUCUUGAUGGGUGUUGACUUAUUACCAAUAGGAUUGAGGGAAAUAGUUAAAUUUGUUACCUGGAGCCAGUGAAAGAUGCUGUGAUAAGAGCAUUUCUAGGGUUUAUGUGUUCAGGCUUUGGAAACCUAGUUCAAUUUUGUGCCAUGGAAUUGGAAAAGAAAUUUAGCAUUAUUUCUUGUAUGAAUCAGGGAACUAUUUGAAUUUCCAUGGGGGUAUGGUGAAAAAGAACACCUUUUUUUUUUGUGUGUGUGUGGGGGG
This 400-nucleotide long non-coding RNA is filed under the name Zea mays. RNAcentral describes it as "long non-coding RNA (ZMAY_LNC003881)". The record is from RNAcentral. Lineage: Eukaryota; Viridiplantae; Streptophyta; Magnoliopsida; Poales; Poaceae.